CUAUCUUACCGGGUGAGUUCUUGUAAAAAAAAAAUCUCUCUCGCACGCUGCUAUACCAGAAAAUGUAAAAAUAGCAUUUUUACAUUUCCAUAGCGCGUGCAGUUCUCUGUAUUAUUUCCCCAAGUUUUUAGCACUUUCCAGGUGCAGCUUUUGUCCGCAUGCAUGUAAUAUAUUAUCCAUCCUUAGUUUUUUUUCUUCCACUUAAAAAGUUUUCAAUUUAAUUUUUUUUAAAGUUGGUGACAGGGGUUCUUUUAAAAGUACCAAAAAUUGCGUAAAAUCGGUUCUUUUAGUCUCUUAUCGUAUUCACCUGUAGCAUAUCCUAACCUUCGGUAUUUUUUUAAUUUUGUUCUCCCCCCUUCACUCACUCCCCCUCCAUAUUCGCCACCUUUUUUUCAUGAGGAUUUCGCAUGAUAGACAGAAGAAGAAAACAAGCAACACAGAAGAAGACAAUGCAUGAGGAGAAAAAAAACCUUGUAACAAGUUUUUUUAUUUUACUCCAUUAUUCUGACUAACAUUUUACCCUGUGGAAACUAUAAUCCCCAAGCUGUGCACUGCUCCCACUAACCGUCACACAAAUACCACUGCUUUUUGGAUGGACAGCUUUAUAUAGGACUACAUGUGGAUUUCUCACGUUGUGUGGAGGACUUGGACAAUACAGGGACUGAAAGCUCCCAAUUAAAGUGGGAUUAAAAAGUGGACACUAACGGAGGACGGCAAUAAAUUGGCUCCCAAUCUGAUGCUGGUCGCACCGAGAAUGUAAAAGACAGUAUAUAACUUGCUGAAAUUCAAUUAUCAAGGACUUAUAUUGAUUUUCAUAUUAGCAUUCUCUUGCUUGAUGCAAAGAGGAAAAAAGGAAAUGUGAAAAAAAAAACACCUUUAAACUUCUAGGGAAAUGUUUUUGUGCAUUGGGAUAAGUAAAUGUGAUACAUAGAAACUGGACAGUGAUUUGUAUGAACAUAUGUACACCAAGACAAUGAAUCUCUCACAGGUAAAUAUACAGUAACUCAAUUUCCAUGUAAUUUAAUUUCUUGAAUGGCCAGUUCAAAAUAAAUUUACACUAUGAA
Molecule: long non-coding RNA, 1064 nt
Organism: Saccostrea cuccullata (small rock oyster)
Lineage: Eukaryota; Metazoa; Mollusca; Bivalvia; Ostreida; Ostreidae
Exons: 2
Source: RefSeq, a predicted model, not a curated record